RNAcentral lists this ribosomal RNA (155 nucleotides) under uncultured fungus. Its description in RNAcentral is "5.8S ribosomal RNA". The stretch from base 68 to 155 matches the Rfam family "5.8S ribosomal RNA", at positions 1 to 88 of the family's 154-position model. Rfam says of the family: 5.8S ribosomal RNA (5.8S rRNA) is a component of the large subunit of the eukaryotic ribosome. It is transcribed by RNA polymerase I as part of the 45S precursor that also contains 18S and 28S rRNA. Lineage: Eukaryota; Fungi. The record is from RNAcentral.
AAUUCGUUGCUCGGACGAGGCGGCGCGACUCGGCGCCCGGCUGAAAUGUUAAAAUAACGCAAAUGAUAACUCUAAGCGGUGGAUCACUCGGCUCGUGUGUCGAUGAAGAGCGCAGCCAGCUGCGUGAAUUAAUGUGAAUUGCAGGACACAUUGAA